UUGUUGAGCACAUUGUAAGUCGACCUAGCUUGGCGUGAGUAUGUCUACCCGAGCAUAGGCGCCCUGUGAGAUUAAUUACCUCAGAACAAAUCUAGUUACCCAAGUAGGCGCACAGUAAGACGACCUAACUCGGGAGCAAACAUUGUCAACGCUAAUCGCUUGUCCGGGCAUGAGUCCAGACUAUCUCAAUAAGGACGAUGACGGCAUACCAUUUUUGUUUUGCCAUAAGGUAAGAUUACUUGGUAGGGUGUGUGUAUAAAUGUCA
This 265-nucleotide long non-coding RNA is filed under the name Phaseolus vulgaris (common bean). RNAcentral describes it as "long non-coding RNA (PVUL_LNC005026)". Lineage: Eukaryota; Viridiplantae; Streptophyta; Magnoliopsida; Fabales; Fabaceae. The record is from RNAcentral.